AAUGAUUACUUGUCAAAUUGCCUGACUGGUCAGGUUGCCAAUUUCCAUAUAAUUUGACAUUACCGAUGAAUCUUCUCUUGAGCUUGGUAUGGAACCAUGCAUUGUAUUAUGUGGUGGCUCUAACAAUGCUAUAAAAAUAUACCUAGAACAAGAACCUGUUGCGGAAAAAUGUGACUUAUUUGGAGGAGCAUUGCAUUGCUUAAUUGCUCUUUAUUUUGUCUUCAAUUUGGAAUAUCCCAAAGAAGCAUCCUGCAUUUUGGAUUUCCUUCAAAGAUAUAUUUCAAAAAUACACCCCGAAGCAGGAACCAAAUCGAAAAAACAAAAUCUUUUGAAAAGAAAAGUUAUUUCAUAUUUAACGAAGUUAGCCAAGAUAGAAUAAUAAAUUAUUAUUUUAUUUAUGUAAAUCUCAAAUAACUUUGGUUUAAAACUGAUUUCUUAUAUUAAUUAAUAACUUAAUGUAUUAAUAUAACGAGAAAGUAAAGUUUGGGACAAAUUCGUUUUAAAAUUGAAAGGUUUAAAAAAACAACGCUCGAGCCCAUUUAUUUUUAUUUUUAGUAGCGCUUUUUUGCCAAUGUACACUUUCUAUACAGGG
Molecule: long non-coding RNA, 592 nt
Filed under: Anthonomus grandis grandis
Lineage: Eukaryota; Metazoa; Arthropoda; Insecta; Coleoptera; Curculionidae
Description: uncharacterized LOC126736289
Source: RNAcentral